GUCACCGGGCACUUCCGCCCCCCAUUUGACGUUCUCGAGCCAUUUCCGCCCCGCAAAAUACACAUAGUAAAGGGAUCCAUAGAAACUCAAACUGUUGCUGAAAUGCACUGGACUGGGGAGUCUAAGGUAUUUCCCGGAUGACGUUACAGAGACGAGCUAUUUUGAGCGGAACAGGAGCAGCGACUCCCGGUGAGGCACAGCUACGGACACGGGAGCGUGGAGGUGGC
Molecule: long non-coding RNA, 227 nt
Organism: Brienomyrus brachyistius
Lineage: Eukaryota; Metazoa; Chordata; Actinopteri; Osteoglossiformes; Mormyridae
Exons: 3
Source: RefSeq, a predicted model, not a curated record